This 504-nucleotide ribosomal RNA is filed under the name uncultured bacterium. RNAcentral describes it as "partial 16S ribosomal RNA". It matches the Rfam family "Bacterial small subunit ribosomal RNA", at positions 28 to 523 of the family's 1533-position model. The record is from RNAcentral.
GAUGAACGCUAGCGGCAGGCUUAAUACAUGCAAGUCGAGGGGCAGCAUGUCCCGAGCAAUCGGGAUGCUGGCGACCGGCAAACGGGUGCGGAACACGUACAGAACCUUCAUUCGGGCGGGGAAUAGCACAGAGAAAUUUGGAGUAAUACCCCAUAGGACAACGGAGUGGCAUCACUUUGGUGUUAAAGAUUUAUACCUUUAGAAUGGCUGCGCGGCCGAUUGGGUAGUUGACGGGGUAACGGCCCACCAGGCCUGAGAUCAGUAACUGGUGUGAGCACACGACCAGUCACACGGGCACUGAGACACGGGCCCGAUUCCUACGGGAGGCAGGAGUAAGGAAUAUUGGUCAAUGGACGAAAGUCUGAACCAGCCAUGCCGCGUGGAGGAUGAAGGUCCUCUGGAUUGUAAACUUCUUUUAUAUGGGACGAAAAAAGGGUUUUCUAACUCGUCUGACGGUACCAUAUGAAUAAGCACCGGCUAACUCCGUGCCAGCCGCCGCCGUAA